RNAcentral lists this ribosomal RNA (202 nucleotides) under uncultured bacterium. RNAcentral's name for it is "partial 16S ribosomal RNA". It matches the Rfam family "Bacterial small subunit ribosomal RNA", at positions 1299 to 1500 of the family's 1533-position model. The record is from RNAcentral.
UGAAGGCUGAAAUUCGCCUUCAUGAAGCUGGAAUUGCUAGUAAUGGCAGGUCANCGAUACUGCCGUGAAUACGUUCCCGGGCCUUGUACACACCGCCCGUCACACCAUGAGAGUUGGGAAUACCCGAAGCCUGUGAGCUAACUUAUAGAGGCAGCAGUCGAAGGUAGAAUCAAUGAUUGGGGUGAAGUCGUAACAAGGUAGC